This 269-nucleotide long non-coding RNA is filed under the name Cicer arietinum (chickpea). RNAcentral describes it as "long non-coding RNA (CARI_LNC000813)". Lineage: Eukaryota; Viridiplantae; Streptophyta; Magnoliopsida; Fabales; Fabaceae. The record is from RNAcentral.
GAAUUAUAAACAAUCAAGUAAUUUAUAAUUUUUACAUGAUAAACAUUUUCCGAGGUUUGUGAAUUUACAUAGCUUGUUCAAUGAAUGUUGCUCCCAUCUCUCACAUCUAACUUAGGCCAUUCCUUCUACUUCCCCUUCUGAGAGCCGAGACCAUUGUUAUAGUAUACCAUGCCUGACCAUAUAUUAAUUGUAAAGAAGGAAAGUGCAAGAAAAAAAGGUAAUUUAAUUAGGUUAAGUGUAGUGAAUAAAGUUGUGUUGUUAACCUUCUU